This 504-nucleotide ribosomal RNA is filed under the name uncultured bacterium. RNAcentral's name for it is "partial 16S ribosomal RNA". It matches the Rfam family "Bacterial small subunit ribosomal RNA", at positions 29 to 523 of the family's 1533-position model. The record is from RNAcentral.
AUUGAACGCUGGCGGCAGGCCUAACACAUGCAAGUCGAACGGUAGCACAGAGAGCUUACUCUCGGGUGACGAGUGGCGGACGGGUGAGUAACGUCUGGGAAACUGCCCGAUGGAGGGGGAUAACUACUGGAAACGGUAGCUAAUACCGCAUAACGUCGCAAGACCAAAGGGGGGGACCUUCGGGCCUCACACCAUCGGAUGUGCCCAGAUGGGAUUAGCUAGUAGGUGGGGUAAUGGCUCACCUAGGCGACGAUCCCUAGCUGGUCUGAGAGGAUGACCAGCCACACUGGAACUGAGACACGGUCCAGACUCCUACGGGAGGCAGCAGUGGGGAAUAUUGCACAAUGGGCGCAAGCCUGAUGCAGCCAUGCCGCGUGUAUGAAGAAGGCCUUCGGGUUGUAAAGUACUUUCAGCGGGGAGGAAGGCGGUGAAGUUAAUAGCUUCACCGAUUGACGUUACCCGCAGAAGAAGCACCGGCUAACUCCGUGCCAGCAGCCGCGGUAA